CAGAGGGGGCAAGCGUUGUUCGGAAUUACUGGGCGUAAAGGGCGCGUAGGCGGCCUGCUAAGUCGAACGUGAAAUCCCUGGGCUCAACCCAGGAACUGCGUCCGAAACUGGUUGGCUUGAAUCCGGGAGAGGGAUGUGGAAUUCCAGGUGUAGCGGUGAAAUGCGUAGAUAUCUGGAGGAACACCGGUGGCGAAGGCGACAUCCUGGACCGGUAUUGACGCUGAGGCGCGAAAGCCAGGGGAGCAAACGGGAUUAGAUACCCCGGUAGUCCUGGCCCUAAACGAUGAAUGCUUGGUGUGGUGGGUAUCGAUCCCUACCGUGCCGAAGCUAACGCAUUAAGCAUUCCGCCUGGGGAGUACGGUCGCAAGGCUG
RNAcentral lists this ribosomal RNA (372 nucleotides) under uncultured organism. RNAcentral's name for it is "bacterial SSU rRNA". It matches the Rfam family "Bacterial small subunit ribosomal RNA", at positions 526 to 896 of the family's 1533-position model. The record is from RNAcentral.